GCCCGAGUGGCUCAUUUGGUUGAGCGUCCGACUCCGGCUCGGGUCAUGGUCUCGCGGUUCGUGGGUUCGAGCCCCGCGUCGGGCU
This 85-nucleotide transfer RNA is filed under the name Felis catus (domestic cat). It matches the Rfam family "tRNA". Rfam says of the family: Transfer RNA (tRNA) molecules are approximately 80 nucleotides in length. Their secondary structure includes four short double-helical elements and three loops (D, anti-codon, and T loops). Lineage: Eukaryota; Metazoa; Chordata; Mammalia; Carnivora; Felidae. The record is from Rfam by way of RNAcentral.